UGGUCAUCAUCUCUGAUUGGUUCUUGUCCCGCCCAACCAACGCCCGUCCCAACUCCCCAUGAGCAGAAUCCGGCCAGUAUUACCGUACCAGAUUGCCCAGGGCCUGAACGAGUGCUGACCAUUGGCGGUUCCGAGGAAGUGGUUCUGAAGGUUCUGCGAGAAGUCUUGGAGUGCCUGGAUGAGGCGCUGCAGAAGGGCUCGGAGACGGACGCGCGUAUCCUCGUGCACCAGAGCCAGGCGGGAUGCAUCAUCGGCAAGGCUGGCACCAAGAUCAAGGAACUCAGGGAGGU
This is a long non-coding RNA of Penaeus indicus, 290 nucleotides long. RefSeq lists it as uncharacterized. The record is from RefSeq and is a predicted model, not a curated record. Lineage: Eukaryota; Metazoa; Arthropoda; Malacostraca; Decapoda; Penaeidae. The transcript has 3 exons.